This 471-nucleotide long non-coding RNA is filed under the name Elaeis guineensis (African oil palm). Its description in RNAcentral is "long non-coding RNA (EGUI_LNC048710)". The record is from RNAcentral. Lineage: Eukaryota; Viridiplantae; Streptophyta; Magnoliopsida; Arecales; Arecaceae.
AUCAGUGGAUCAUCAUCCUGAAUGAUGUUGAUCAUAUUGUCAUCAAUCUUAGAGGUGCAUGAUGCACUCUAUCUAACCUUCGGAGAAGAGAUGUGUAUUAUGGAUGUACCUCAUCUUUAGGUACUUCUGAUUGAGGAUCUUCUUGCGGUCCAACCACUGGUAUUUCUGGAUCGAAUUGUAGAUUAUGAACUUCAGUAAGUUCAAUAUUCCUCCCACUGCCUCCUUUUUGGAUGAGUUUAUUUUCUUAAAAAAUGAUGUGCCUACUAACAAACACCUUUUAUUCAGUAGGUAGUAGUAGUAUUCAUUAGUUUUCUUAGGAUACCCUACAAAUCUAUACUUAUUUGAUCUAGCACGAAGCUUAUGUCCAAAAAUAUUUCUGACAUAAGCAAGACAGUCCUAAGUCUUAAGAUGUUUAAGAUUAGGCUUCCUUCCCUUCUAUAUCUCAUAUGGUGUGCUUGCAACAGACUUGGA